AUUGUUCUAAAUUCAAUUGUCGAUAACAGAAAUAAUUCAUACACAUCUCUCUAUCUUUUCCAAUAUAAGGUCUUUGAGAAAAUAUUCUGUUUAAACUCAAUUGUCUCUUCAUCUCCAUCUCCAUGUGACUCACUUCCAAACUACAGAGUUUUAAGUUAUAAGAAUAGAAACUUCAAAAAAGAAAAGCUUAGAAAAAGAGAGAUGGAGAGAGGAAAGAAACCUCACGUAUUGGUAAUUCCAUAUCCAACUCAAGGCCAUUUAAACCCUUUAAUCCAAUUCUCCAAGUUCUUAUCUUACAAAGGACUUGACAUCACAGUAGCCGUCACCACCUUCAUCUUCAACACCUUCAAACCCUCCAAAAAUAUC
This 366-nucleotide long non-coding RNA is filed under the name Cucumis sativus (cucumber). Its description in RNAcentral is "long non-coding RNA (CSAT_LNC002634)". The record is from RNAcentral. Lineage: Eukaryota; Viridiplantae; Streptophyta; Magnoliopsida; Cucurbitales; Cucurbitaceae.